This 420-nucleotide ribosomal RNA is filed under the name uncultured bacterium. RNAcentral describes it as "bacterial SSU rRNA". It matches the Rfam family "Bacterial small subunit ribosomal RNA", at positions 355 to 775 of the family's 1533-position model. The record is from RNAcentral.
UGGGGAAUCUUGCGCAAUGGCCGAAAGGCUGACGCAGCGACGCCGCGUGGGGGAGGAAGGCCUUCGGGUUGUAAACCCCUGUUGCCCGGGACGAAUGCAUUCUUUAGAGAAUGUUGACGGUACCGGGUGAGGAAGCACCGGCUAACUCCGUGCCAGCAGCCGCGGUAAUACGGAGGGUGCAAGCGUUGUCCGGAAUCACUGGGCGUAAAGGGCGCGUAGGCGGCUCAUGAAGGCUGUGGUGAAAGUCCGGGGCUCAACCUCGGAUCGGCCGUGGCGACUCGUGGGCUGGAGCACUGUAGAGGCGGGUGGAAUUCCGGGUGUAGCGGUGGAAUGCGUAGAGAUCCGGAAGAACACCAGUGGCGAAGGCGGCCCGCUGGGCAGUGGCUGACGCUGAGGCGCGACAGCGUGGGGAGCAAACAG